GCCUCAUUGGCGCAGAUGGCAGCGCGUCAGUCUCAAAAUCUGAAGGUUGUGGGUUCAAACCCCACGGUAGGCA
Acanthaster planci (crown-of-thorns starfish) is the source of this 73-nucleotide non-coding RNA. The record is from the annotation of a RefSeq genome assembly. NCBI's taxonomy places the organism in Eukaryota, Metazoa, Echinodermata, Asteroidea, Valvatida, Acanthasteridae.